CGGAGGGAUCAUUACACAAUAAAAUACGAAGGCCGUUCGCGGCUGGACUAUUUAUUACCCUUGUCUUUUGCGCACUUGUUGUUUCCUGGGCGGGUUCGCUCGCCACCAGGACCACAAUAUAAACCUUUUUUAUGCAGUUGCAAUCAGCGUCAGUAUAACAAAUGUAAAUCAUUUACAACUUUCAACAACGGAUCUCUUGGUUCUGGCAUCGAUGAAGAACGCAGCGAAAUGCGAUACGUAGUGUGAAUUGCAGAAUUCAGUGAAUCAUCGAAUCUUUGAACGCACAUUGCGCCCUUUGGUAUUCCAAAGGGCAUGCCUGUUCGAGCGUCAUUUGUACCCUCAAGCUUUGCUUGGUGUUGGGCGUUUUUGUCUUUGGCCCGCCAAAGACUCGCCUUAAAAUGAUUGGCAGCCGGCCUACUGGUUUCGCAGCGCAGCACAUUUUUGCGCUUGCAAUCAGCAAAAGAGGACGGCAAUCCAUCAAGACUCCUUCUCACGUUUGACCUCGGAUCAGGUAGGGAUGCCUCGCUGAACUUAAGCAUAUCAAUAAGCGGAGGAA
This 556-nucleotide ribosomal RNA is filed under the name Curvularia sp. BAB-4661. Its description in RNAcentral is "eukaryotic LSU rRNA". The stretch from base 177 to 330 matches the Rfam family "5.8S ribosomal RNA". The record is from RNAcentral. Lineage: Eukaryota; Fungi; Ascomycota; Dothideomycetes; Pleosporales; Pleosporaceae.